Molecule: transfer RNA, 37 nt
Filed under: Oroperipatus sp. DVL-2011
Lineage: Eukaryota; Metazoa; Onychophora; Udeonychophora; Euonychophora; Peripatidae
Description: tRNA-Arg
Source: RNAcentral
UUAAUGUAAACAUUAUGUAUUUAGUUUCGACCUAAAA